GAGCGGUAACAGAAAGUAGCUUGCUACUUUGCUGACGAGCGGCGGACGGGUGAGUAAUGCUUGGGAACAUGCCUUGAGGUGGGGGACAACAGUUGGAAACGACUGCUAAUACCGCAUAAUGUCUACGGACCAAAGGGGGCUUCGGCUCUCGCCUUUAGAUUGGCCCAAGUGGGAUUAGCUAGUUGGUGAGGUAAUGGCUCACCAAGGCAACGAUCCCUAGCUGGUUUGAGAGGAUGAUCAGCCACACUGGAACUGAGACACGGUCCAGACUCCUACGGGAGGCAGCAGUGGGGAAUAUUGCACAAUGGGCGAAAGCCUGAUGCAGCCAUGCCGCGUGUGUGAAGAAGGCCUUCGGGUUGUAAAGCACUUUCAGUCAGGAGGAAAGGGUGUGAGUUAAUACCUCAUAUCUGUGACGUUACUGACAGAAGAAGCACCGGCUAACUCCGUGCCAGCAGCCGCGGUAAUACGGAGGGUGCGAGCGUUAAUCGGAAUUACUGGGCGUAAAGCGUACGCAGGCGGUUUGUUAAGCGAGAUGUGAAAGCCCCGGGCUCAACCUGGGAACUGCAUUUCGAACUGGCAAACUAGAGUGUGAUAGAGGGUGGUAGAAUUUCAGGUGUAGCGGUGAAAUGCGUAGAGAUCUGAAGGAAUACCGAUGGCGAAGGCAGCCACCUGGGUCAACACUGACGCUCAUGUACGAAAGCGUGGGGAGCAAACGGGAUUAGAUACCCCGGUAGUCCACGCCGUAAACGAUGUCUACUAGAAGCUCGGAACCUCGGUUCUGUUUUUCAAAGCUAACGCAUUAAGUAGACCGCCUGGGGAGUACGGCCGCAAGGUUAAAACUCAAAUGAAUUGACGGGGGCCCGCACAAGCGGUGGAGCAUGUGGUUUAAUUCGAUGCAACGCGAAGAACCUUACCUACACUUGACAUACAGAGAACUUUCUAGAGAUAGAUUGAUGCCUUCGGGAGC
Molecule: ribosomal RNA, 967 nt
Filed under: uncultured Pseudoalteromonas sp.
Lineage: Bacteria; Pseudomonadati; Pseudomonadota; Gammaproteobacteria; Alteromonadales; Pseudoalteromonadaceae
Description: bacterial SSU rRNA
Rfam family: Bacterial small subunit ribosomal RNA
Source: RNAcentral